GACGAACGCUGGCGGCGUGCCUAAUACAUGCAAGUAGAACGCUGAAGAGAGGAGCUUACUCUUCUUGGAUGAGUUGCGAACGGGUGAGUAACGCGUAGGUAACCUGCCUUGUAGCGGGGGAUAACUAUUGGAAACGAUAGCUAAUACCGCAUAACAAUGGAUGACACAUGUCAUUUAUUUGAAAGGGGCAAUUGCUCCACUACAAGAUGGACCUGCGUUGUAUUAGCUAGUAGGUGAGGUAAUGGCUCACCUAGGCGACGAUACAUAGCCGACCUGAGAGGGUGAUCGGCCACACUGGGACUGAGACACGGCCCAGACUCCUACGGGAGGCAGCAGUAGGGAAUCUUCGGCAAUGGGGGCAACCCUGACCGAGCCACGCCGCGUGAGUGCAGAAGGUUUUCGGAUCGUAAAGCUCUGUUGUAAGUCAAGAACGGGUGUGAGAGUGGAAAGUUCACACUGUGACGGUAGCUUACCAGAAAGGGACGGCUAACUACGUG
Molecule: ribosomal RNA, 497 nt
Filed under: uncultured bacterium
Lineage: Bacteria
Description: partial 16S ribosomal RNA
Rfam family: Bacterial small subunit ribosomal RNA
Source: RNAcentral